This 497-nucleotide ribosomal RNA is filed under the name uncultured bacterium. Its description in RNAcentral is "partial 16S ribosomal RNA". It matches the Rfam family "Bacterial small subunit ribosomal RNA", at positions 28 to 507 of the family's 1533-position model. The record is from RNAcentral.
GACGAACGCUGGCGGCGUGCCUAAUACAUGCAAGUUGAGCGAUGAAGGUUGAUACUUGUCCCAACUGGAUGAGCAGCGAACGGGUGAGUAACGCGUGGGGAAUCUGCCUUUGAGCGGGGGACAACAUUUGGAAACGAAUGCUAAUACCGCAUAAAAACUUUAAACACAAGUUUUAAGUUUGAAAGAUGCAAUUGCAUCACUCAAAGAUGAUCCCGCGUUGUAUUAGCUAGUUGGUGAGGUAAAGGCUCACCAAGGCGAUGAUACAUAGCCGACCUGAGAGGGUGAUCGGCCACAUUGGGACUGAGACACGGCCCAAACUCCUACGGGAGGCAGCAGUAGGGAAUCUUCGGCAAUGGACGAAAGUCUGACCGAGCAACGCCGCGUGAGUGAAGAAGGUUUUCGGAUCGUAAAACUCUGUUGGUAGAGAAGAACGUUGGUGAGAGUGGAAAGCUCAUCAAGUGACGGUAACUACCCAGAAAGGGACGGCUAACUACGUG